AAUAUUCCGCAAUGGGCGAAAGCCUGACGGAGCGACGCCGCGUGGAUGAUGAAGACCCUAUGGGUCGUAAAAUCCUUUUGUGAGGGAAGAAGAUCUGACGGUACCUCACGAAUAAGCCACGGCUAACUACGUGCCAGCAGCCGCGGUAAAACGUAGGUGGCAAGCGUUGUCCGGAAUUACUGGGCGUAAAGAGUGCGUAGGCUGUUUUGUAAGUCUUAGGUGAUAUCUAUCAGCUCAACUGAUAAACUGCUUAAGAUACUGCAUAACUUGAGGGCAGGAGAGGAGAGUGGAAUUCCCGGUGUAGCGGUGAAAUUCGUAGAUAUCGGGAGGAACACCAGUGGCGAAGGCGACUCUCUGGACUGUCGCU
RNAcentral lists this ribosomal RNA (367 nucleotides) under Thermodesulfobium sp. enrichment culture DGGE gel band SulH. RNAcentral's name for it is "bacterial SSU rRNA". It matches the Rfam family "Bacterial small subunit ribosomal RNA", at positions 360 to 741 of the family's 1533-position model. Lineage: Bacteria; Pseudomonadati; Thermodesulfobiota; Thermodesulfobiia; Thermodesulfobiales; Thermodesulfobiaceae. The record is from RNAcentral.